RNAcentral lists this unclassified non-coding RNA (288 nucleotides) under Hevea brasiliensis (rubber tree). Lineage: Eukaryota; Viridiplantae; Streptophyta; Magnoliopsida; Malpighiales; Euphorbiaceae. The record is from RNAcentral.
AUUAAAAAAAAAAUCGGAAUCUGAGAUCCAGAUUGCAAUGACCAAUGCGCAUUCUUUCAUCUAUACAUAAAUAAGAAAGAAUAAACUAAACGUAUAUAUCUCUGUUGUCCCAUUCCCUACAUUCAACACAAACAAAAGCAACAAGAUUUGACAGUUCACCGAUAUGAAGCUUCGUUAUUCUAAUUGUAUUUAUUUAUAUCUUACAUUUGUUUAGCCUAUUACAAAGAGAUUAACUGAACCACCAAAUCAUGAAAAUAAGAAAAAGUAUUAGAUUGACAUAUCGGUAAG